This 327-nucleotide ribosomal RNA is filed under the name Triticum aestivum (bread wheat). Its description in RNAcentral is "partial small subunit ribosomal RNA". The record is from RNAcentral. Lineage: Eukaryota; Viridiplantae; Streptophyta; Magnoliopsida; Poales; Poaceae.
AUGAAAAUGCUCACCACUAAGAAUGAUGGUGCAAGAGGUGUGAGAGAACAUAUCAUGGCUUUGAACGAUAUGGUCGCAAAAUUAAAGGGCAUGUACAUGGAGAUUUCUGAGGGCUUUUUGGUUCGUUUCAUUAUGACUUCCCUUCCUGUGGAGUUUGGUCCAUUCAAGAUCAACUAUAACACACAAAAGGAGAAGUGGACCAUGGGUGAGCUCAUGGCUAUGUGCGUUCAAGAAGAGGAGCGACAUAAGAUUGAGAGAAUAGAUUACGCUCAUCUUACUUCCAUGAACUCAGGGAAGAGAAAGUUUAAUGGUGAAAAUAAGACUUAG